This is a long non-coding RNA of Drosophila montana, 449 nucleotides long. RefSeq lists it as uncharacterized. NCBI's taxonomy places the organism in Eukaryota, Metazoa, Arthropoda, Insecta, Diptera, Drosophilidae. The transcript has 3 exons. The record is from RefSeq and is a predicted model, not a curated record.
AUUUUAGAGAUUUAUAAAAGGAAUAAAAUAGUGCCGAAUAAAAUUAAUAUGGACGCUAAAUCCCAUGACGCAUGGGCGUAUCCUAUUGUGUCGACCAUAUUUUAUGACACAUUAAGCCAUUCAAUUGUUGUUCCAUUGUCGGUCAUACUAAUACCAUAUUUUAAUGCACGUUUGCCUCCAUACCUGCAUUAUGCUUCAAUUGGUGUUUCUAUUGCUAAGGAAAUUCUGCGUUCAAUAACGAAAAACUUUGAUGAUAAAGCUAUGCGUUGUGUGCCGCAUUCUGUAAACAUAUUUUCGAACUUCAGCCGAAUGGAUCUAUUAAUUCAUUCUGGAGGGAUGCAGAUUUCAUACCAUUCAAUGCUUUCACUCACUGGCCCUAUCAAAGGAAUGCCUCGUCUCCCAGAAUUAAAUUUGAAACCAACACAAAUUUUUUGGUGGUGACUGCCCAA